GACAAACGGAUCAAAUUAAAAUUAUUACAGUAAAAAAGGAGGUUAAUAAAUUUGUUGUGGAAAAUAAUGCUUUUUAUGGAGGUGGAAUUUGUAUAAAAAGAGAUAAUUUAGGUUUUCCUUUUUUUUGAGGCCUCGAAAUUUUGAUAUAAAACCGGGAUUAGAUACCCCGUUAUUCUAAAUGUAAACUUUAAUUUUUAUUGGUAAUUUACUUGAGUAUUACGAGUGUGAGAGAAUAAUUUAUAUAGUUCUUAAAACUCAAAAAACUUGGCGGUGCCUUAUAUCCUUCCAGGGGAACCUGUCCUAUAAUCGAUAGUCCACGAUUUAGCUUUCUUUCUUUUGUAUUAUAUCAGCUUGUAUACCGUCGUCGUCAGGUUACCUUUAAGAGCUAUGAAGUUAUCGGUGAGAACUAGGUGGGUAAAUCUUAUUUGUAAUAGUGUUUACUUAAUUGUGUUCUAGACGUCAGAUCAAGGUGCAGCCUAUAGGGGAGUAGAGAUGGGUUACAGUAAUAAUUUAUUAUAAUGAAUUUUUUGUUGUAAAAGCAAAAUUGAAGGAGGACUUGGAAGUAAUUAGUUUAAAAAUAAGAGAGUUUAAAUGAAAACAGGCUCUGAGGUGCGC
RNAcentral lists this ribosomal RNA (615 nucleotides) under Spectamen sp. 1 LS-2013. Its description in RNAcentral is "partial 12S ribosomal RNA". The record is from RNAcentral. Lineage: Eukaryota; Metazoa; Mollusca; Gastropoda; Trochida; Solariellidae.